This 367-nucleotide unclassified non-coding RNA is filed under the name Hevea brasiliensis (rubber tree). The record is from RNAcentral. Lineage: Eukaryota; Viridiplantae; Streptophyta; Magnoliopsida; Malpighiales; Euphorbiaceae.
GCUCUCCCCUUUUCUAAGAGCUGAGAGUUCAAGACAUACUGAGAUUGCUGAUUCCAACAACCUGGUGGCAGAAUCAGAUGCAUGCCAUGACAGCAGUUCUGGUGAAGCAUAUACAGAUCCUGUAUCUGAUUCUAUAAUGAACAGUAGUAGUUCCAAGGCAUUGGCAUUAUUGAGACUGUCACUUCAGUUAGCUGAUGAAAGUAAUACAUUAACUGAUCUUUCAGUGGGAGAAGAGGAAGUCAUCAGAUUGUCCUCAUCAGCAACAGCAAUAAUAGUAUAUGUAGAUUGGUCUCAGGAGCUCUUAGAGAGCUAUGAUACCCAUUACUUGGAAAACUUAUCUGAAGUGCUCAAAUAUGGACCUGUGAAU